This 6049-nucleotide unclassified non-coding RNA is filed under the name Leishmania donovani. Its description in RNAcentral is "gene:LdHU3.21.1680(CDS-product:hypothetical_prote in_conserved)". Lineage: Eukaryota; Euglenozoa; Kinetoplastea; Trypanosomatida; Trypanosomatidae. The record is from RNAcentral.
AAAAAGGGGAGCCACACACGCAACAAAUACUCACAAACACAAGCAGCGGUGUAUCUGUGGUCCCCCUCCCCCCCCCAGCCACCCUCCCUCAAACCUCCCAACCCGACCCGACCCACCCCCUUCACUCCUUCGUUUCUUUCUUGUUACCAUCACCCCCUCAUUUCCUUUUGGUACUGUCCAUCCGCGUGUAGGUGCGUGCAUUUGUGUGUGUGUGUGUGGUCUUCAAGUCGACCAUCUCACGAACUCGCACCAAACUUCACCGCUCUUCCCCUCCCUCUCUCUUGUCCCCAUUUUCCCUCCUUCCCUUCUUCAAACACGCACGCGCGCGCGUGCAAGAACCGCAUAAAAGAAGAAAGAAACGUCUGCAAGCAAAGGCCCUUCCCGAUUUCUCUUUUUUUAUUGUUUCUCUGUCCCGCUCGCACACACACUAACUAUCGCUGUGCUUGUGCUCACCACGAGUUUGUGGGCGAUCUGUAGCUGGUUAGCAACUGGUAGCAUCACGACAAGCAGCAGGAGCAGCGGCAAACUUUCCCUCGUUCCCCUUUCUCUCUCGCGCUCUCCGCCACCUUCGUUUUUUUUUGCAAAUCUUCGAUACUAUUCUGGGAGUUGUUUGCUUCUCUGUGUGUGUGUGUGUGUCUUCUUCCUACGCCAGUGAUACUCGCGUGCGCGCUGUGCCUCGGUUCCACUCUGUCUUCUCUGUCGUCUGUACGUGCGCGUGCAUGGUUCUUCCGUGUAUGUAUAUACGUAUAUAUACAUAUACAUACCUGCAUGUAUUGAUCGGGGGUAGCGCGUACGUGGGUACCCGCUCGUGUCUCGUUUUUUUGUUGUUUUUCCGCCAUCGCUGGUAUGGGGGAGGCGGACUUUGGUCAUUGUCGCUUGCCUGUUGAUUUUGAUUGAUUGUGAUUGGUACCUUCUUUUUUCUCUUGCGUCGGAUUGCUCUCUCUCUCUCGUCUACGUGUGCGUAUGUGUGUGUGUGUGUUUGUGUAUUUAUCUACCCCGCGCAUUCCAACACUUGAGAGCGGGGCAUCACCGCCGCCCCACCCCCUGAAGCGGAGCGCAUUACUAUCACAGAAUUUGAAGAAGCGCACACACACGCACCUUCCUCCCUCCUCCCUUCCCUCCUUCGGUGUCUCUUCCUUUGUUACGGAAAACGCGGCCAACAAUAAAAAAACGUGGUUGCGCACGCCGCACAAGAAACAGCACAGAGACGAGGGAGAGUGAGAGUGAGAGAGAGGGGGGCCGCAAGUCCGUGAGUUCGAGCGGCGCUGCCACCGUGCAUUGCAUGUCGCGUGCUGCUUUCCUUUGCGUUGCUGCCUUGCGAAAUAAGUCGUCUAGCAGGCCUCUGUGUCUGUCGGAGUGACGCCCCAAGGCACCUAAAACAAAGUAGAACGGAAAGAAGCAAGGAAUCCAGCCCCACCCCCUCUCUUCUCCUCAUCCCUCAGGCCAGUUGAGACAUAGGCGUGCGAUCGACCACCGCUCCCGCGUACUAUCUCAUUGUCCUCUCCAUCUCUCCUAUUGUGCAGCAUUUCGGAGCCCCAUCCUGUCUUCUCUCAUUUUCCACCUUUUUUGUUUCUUAUUUGUGUGUGUGUGUUGCUUUCUUCUUGCUUCCAUCGCAAGAAAGCCGCGUACUUCCUCUUCACCCCCCCUCCUCCUCUUCUCCCCUCUUGUUCUCACAUUCUGCUGUUACCUUCUUCGGUUUGUGUGUUUUCAUCACCAUCACUUCCCUCCUCCUCCUACCCUCCUCUCCCACCUCACCCCUGCUUCUCCGUCACGUGUGCCUGCAUAUGUGAGCGCAUCCUUUUUGAGUAUUGCGUGUCGUCUUCCUAUUUGGCCACCCGCCGCCUCGUUGUCACUUCUUUUCUUGUUUUUGCCUCCUUUUCUCUUUGAGCGCCGGUCAUCCUCUCCCUUUUUUUUCCUUGGCGUCCCGUCACCGGCCCUCCAUUCGCCCUGCCGUGGUGUUUCGCGCAUGUGUCUGCGUUGAGUCUUUGACUUCCUUUCGUUCCUGCGUUUUUCUAGUGAGCUUGUGUGAUGCAGACACGUGCUCGCUCCGGUGGCACUCGCCCGCUUCCGACGGCCACGUCAGCUGCGUCAGAGACAGACUCCAUCCGUACCGGGGGCUCCUCCGACUCCAACUCGCCCUCGCAUGGGCUGCGCCGGUCGAACCUGCCGGCUCCGCUCGCGCCGGAGGCGCUUUCCAGCUCCCUCCCUGUUUCACAGCGGCUCGACGGCGCCUCGUCGUGCCCUGUGAACCGCGCCGGCAGACUUGCGCCGGACGCUCUGCGUAUGCCGACCCUUUCGCCGGCCGCAUCACCGUUGACCGUGCAGGGCCGCAGCCCGCCGCCUCACCAAAGGGAGGCGUAUCAGCGCCGGGCCCAUCCCGGAAGCGGCGACAAAGGUGGCGGUAAGAUGUCGCUGCCACCCCCAAGCACCCCGACCCAGGCAGGCUCCGCCCCUGUGGACGAAAACGGUGAUGGCAGCGGCCGUCGUGGACACCACAACGCUCGAAGCAGCAUGAACAGCGGCAGCAGCAGCAGCAGUCGUCAUGAGAGAAGCAGCAACGCCCUGGGCCUCCGCACCAAUGAGCCGGCGCCAUCUAUGCCCUCCAUGUCGAGCCGACUGCCGGCGAUGAUGCAGCCAAGCAAGCUGUCGACCUCCACAACAGCCAGCUCCAACGUGUCCACCACCAAUCCACCGGCUCAGCAGCAGCCGGCCUCCACAGCGACCAUGCCGACGGUGCCAACAUCAUCAUCCCGACUGGCGUCGCAACCAGACGUAUCCCUUCUCACGGUCACCUCGCCAGCGCGCAGGUGCUGCCUGGUGGCGGAUAGCAGUGACCGCAGUGCUGAGACCACGCCCGUGUCAACAGUGCAGAUACCCUUGCCACCUCGGUCUCUGCCGCAGGCGCCUGCACCAGCGCAGCGUCCGUCGUCCACGGUGAGUGCGACGUCCGCGAGCAACAGCGUCACUCGCGGCACGGCCCACCAGCGUGAAGCAGAGGCUCGCGCCACUGCUGGAGACGGCAGCACCAGCAAGGAAGCGUACCUGCGCGAUAAUCCGCGGGUGAGGGCGCUCGUGAACAAUAUGUACCAGCAUGUCAUGACGACACAGCCCGAGGAGCCACUUCGGUACCUCGCGCACCUCCGUGCCGGCACAGUGCCGCAGGUGCCAUCCACACACCUCGCGCCGCCGGCCACGCAGCGAGGCGAAGCGAGGCGUACGCCAGGGCAGCAAGCCCGCACCGUGCCGCAGCCACGGCAGCUUUCUAGCAGAGCACACGGCAGCGCCCACCCACCAUACUCACACACAGCGGAGGGGGCUAGCACCUCGAGCGCGUCGGUUUCGUCAGAGCUGCUUCGAGACAGUGGUAGCACGUGCGAUAACGAUGGCGGCCACACAUGGGCAGGGCCGUUGCAGCCAACGCCCCAGCAGCCCGAGAGUGCCGCCUCUCACGGAGGUGACGUUGACCUCACCGACAGCUUUGACAGCGGCGCCGUCAGCAGCGGCGUUGCCAACCGGCCAGCCUCGCUGACAGCGCGUAGUGAUGUAGCUGCUGCUGUCCGCCCUCUUCGCACUCCGCCAUCAGCACCGACGACGUCGCUGCAAUCGCGCGGUGGAAGCAGUGGCGUGAAUGCUGGCGGUCGUGUAAUGCCGCCGUCGAUCGCCGGCACUGUAAUGCACACAAAUGCAAGCAGCAACGCCAUCCUCAGCGGUAGCGCGUCGAGCAAGCACGGGUCCCCGCAACUCCUGCAGCGUUCCGGGCUCGUUACGAACAGCCUGGCGAACAGUGGCUUUCUCUCUGGUGUCGCCGUCGGCAGCGCUGGUCAUCAGGCCGGAAGCAGCGGUGCGCUGCUGCAGCACGCCAGUGGUAGUGUCAGCGCCUUCCGCUCCAGCGGCAUCGCGGCACCGCACUUGGUACCCUCUUUCGCUGGCAGCGUGUCGGGCAUCGAGCGCGGCGAGGCCACCCCGAGCGACCUCAGCUCCCUGUUCAGCACGAACUCGGUGGAUCUGCAGGAGUUCAUUGCGGAGUUUCGCCUCGCCAAGGAAGAGCGCUACGGCGGCAGCGUCGACCAUCCCGCCAUCACGCUGGACGAGCUCGCCUGCAUCAUUGAGUGUAACAGCUUCCCUUGCGCCGACGCGGAGGUGCUGCUGGACUUGUUUGAUGAGCUGCAGCCGUGCGCCCGGUACCUCGCGGGUGUGCAGAACCCCACUCGCUCCCCGCCAGCGGUGUCAGCCACUCUGAAGCGGAACAGCUCACCCCAGCUGCUGCACAGAGGCCUGGGCCCCAGAAGUAUGAGCCCUGUCUCCCUCUUCAACGGAACUGUGGCUGCCACAGCGGCAGCGGAAAGCGCUGCCACCGGCAAAGUGCGCGGAGUUGGCGCCACUAACAGCUCUGCCGUUGCGGCAAUGGGCAACAACGGCAACGCGACCGGGCCAGCGUGGCCUCCGGGGCGGGUGCAAGGUGCCGAGUCGUGUGUGGCCGCUGCACACCCACCCACCAGUGUCGCGGCGAAAGGCAUGAGCCACAGCCACGAACGCUUUGCCGAUGAGGCGCAGUGCAAGGGCUGUGUUACAAUCAGUGGGCGCGCAGACUCCAAGGAUGGCAAGGUCCUGGUGAUCGGCAGUCGUAUUGCAGACGGGGCCCCUUUUGAGUCGUCCAGCGAAGGUGGCAGCUAUAACCCCUACAGCCGCUGCACCUCUGACGCCUUCACCGGUGCCUCAACUCUCCAGCGACAGCAGGGUGUGUCGCAGCACCCCUACUCGGACGGCGCGGACGGUGAGGAGGUGCCGACGGUCCCCUUUGACACCCUUCUUGCGCGCAUGGCCUACAAGAUCCAGGGUCGGUACCCGUCCGAGGCGAUUCGCAUCGCCUUCUACGGUAUGGUGGUGGAUGAAGAGUCGGCAGCGGCUGCCUUGGAGAGCAGUGGGCGCAGUGCUGGACUUGGCGUCGACUGCGCAGCGCUUGUGGCCAACGGACGAGGUUUGCACGGCGUCGUCUCAACAGACUCCCUCACGCCAUCAGAGACGACUGUGAUGGGCAGCAGCAGUGCUGGAAUGGCGACGACUGGCUACGGCACUCUGCCAAGUUGCACUGUCCCUCUCUCGCGCUGCAUCACGGAAGGGCUGUUCGCGCGACUAGGCAUGGUCGAUGUGACGGCAGGCGAGGUGCAGCGUGGCCUCCGCAGUGUCGGGCUUCCAAUAGGCCAGGACGAACAGCGUGUGUACGAGUGCCACCUGGAGGACUUCGCGCGACUGGUCCGCGCCAUCACGGCCGUCUCCGAGCGUGGGUGCAGCGCGAGCCCGGCGAACCCCAGUCUCACGAGUCUGCGCGAGAGCUAUGUGCAGCGCGGCAGCAGCAACAACUUCGCAGUAUGCAACAACAGCAGCGGCGGCACCGUUCCCGCCGCACCAGCUCCAUGGAAGGAGUAGCAGUCAUCGUCGUUGGGUGCCGCAACAGCUGCCGACUGAGCCCGAACGCCGCCAUAUGCAGCGCGCUCCGUUAGCACGGACUUCACGGUUGGUGAUCUCGCUUUUUUUUUCGGACGCACAGGGCUCGUUGAGACGCGUACAGGAGGAGCAGUGAGAGAAGAGGUAAGGAAAAUCGAAGGGAUGCGCCGCUUGUGUCUGUGUCUGUGUCUGUGUGUGUGCGUCUACUCUCUCAAGCUGUAUGUUUUAUUUUGUAAGUAUAUGCAUGUGUACACGUAUACGUGUAUACAUGCAUAUAAGCAGGUGUGUGUCUGGGUAAGCUUUGCUCAGCACGAUGAAACGCGUACGGCCCCAGUUGGGGAGGGGGGGGGGGACCGCACACGCGCAGGUGCAUAUAAAAUAUAUACAUAUAUAUAUAUACGCACACCUCUCAUUUACGUACGAACGGCCAUACAGUCUUCUCCGCUUUUUUUUUCGUCCUUCUCCGCUGUAUUUAUGCUUCGUGCUGCCCCCACCCCACCCCUCCUCCACCUAUUUUUUUCUGAGGGGGCGAAGGAGGUGGGGCGCAAACACAGAAACACAAAGCACAGCAGUGUUGUGUGCACACAGAAUCAGUUCCAAUAGC